RNAcentral lists this long non-coding RNA (737 nucleotides) under Rattus norvegicus (Norway rat). RNAcentral describes it as "long non-coding RNA NONRATT022303". Lineage: Eukaryota; Metazoa; Chordata; Mammalia; Rodentia; Muridae. The record is from RNAcentral.
CACAGAAGCUGAUGCAGGAGCUGAGGAUAGCCCUUCCAGUCAGCAACUCACUGGCCCUUCCCCUUUCUAAGCCUUUCUUGAUAACAAUGUCUACCCUCUCCGUAUCUGUGUCUAGAGGCUGAACACCCCAUUCUAGAGCUGAAUGCUCUCUGUCAGAGUCCUCCAGCAGACGAAAAUCAUAAUAGGGGCCAACCCGUGUCUAAGCCUCAGAGAGCAGCUAAGUGAAACCCUUCUCUAUGAAGAAGAAGGUAAGGUUAGGCUCAUAUGCAGAAGGGACUCAGACUUACUCCUCUAGCCAAAAGCUGAACUGAACUUGGUGUGAAGCUUUCUUGCAGUAAGCAAAGCACUUAAGACAAUGUUGACCCUAGGGGCAGACUCCGUGAGUUCAAAUCCCGGCUUUACCUCUGUCAGCUGGGAGAGCUGAACAACCACCUUCGCAUUUCCAGACUCAGCUACUCUCUCUAUAAAAACAAAGGCUAUUGCUGAGCAGGGGUGCUGAUGUCUUUGAUUGUAGCACUUGGGAGGCAGAGGCAGGUGGAUUUCUGUGUAUUCAAGGUCAGCCUGGUCUUUAGAGUGAGUUACAGUACAGUCAGGGCUACCCAGAGAAACCCUGUCUCGAAAAGCUACACAAACAAACAAAUAAAACAACAACACCCACAACAGAAACAAAAACUAAAGACUACCUUAGAACCCAUCUCACUAAAUUAUUAUUUUGAUGAAAUGAAAUCAAAGAAAAA